GCGGAGGGCCGGGCGGCCGCUGCCUGCAAGGGCAGAGGAAAGUCCGGACUCGCCGAAGCGCCGGUGCCGGGUAACGCCCGGGCAGGGCAACCUGACGGAAAGCGCCACAGAGAACAGACCGCUCCGGAUGCGUCCGGAGUCAGGGUGAAACGGUGGGGUAAGGGCCCACCGGGGGGCGGGCAACCGUCGCCGCAUGGCAAGCCCCACCGGGAGCAAUGCCAAAUAGGGAUCCCGCGCGGGAUUGAUCGCUUCGGCGAUAUCGCCGCAGGGCCGCUUCGGCCCGAGGGAUCCGGGUUGGCAGCAUGAGCCCGCGGGCGACCGCGGGCCGAGAUGAAUGGUCGCCUGUCGGGCGGGGCAACUCGUCCGGCAACAGAAUCCGGCUUACAGGCCCUCCGCGCGC
Molecule: RNase P RNA, 400 nt
Filed under: Salipiger mucosus DSM 16094
Lineage: Bacteria; Pseudomonadati; Pseudomonadota; Alphaproteobacteria; Rhodobacterales; Roseobacteraceae
Description: Bacterial RNase P class A
Rfam family: Bacterial RNase P class A
About the family: Ribonuclease P (RNase P) is a ubiquitous endoribonuclease, found in archaea, bacteria and eukarya as well as chloroplasts and mitochondria.
Source: Rfam by way of RNAcentral